UUAGUGGAAGCGUCUGGAAAGGCGCGCGAUACAGGGUGACAGCCCCGUACACAAAAGCGCAUGUGCUGUGAGCUCGAUGAGUAGGGCGGGACACGUGGUAUCCUGUCUGAAUAUGGGGGGACCAUCCUCCAAGGCUAAAUACUCCUGACUGACCGAUAGUGAACCAGUACCGUGAGGGAAAGGCGAAAAGAACCCCGGCGAGGGGAGUGAAAAAGAACCUGAAACCGUGUACGUACAAGCAGUGGGAGCACCCUUUGGGGUGUGACUGCGUACCUUUUGUAUAAUGGGUCAGCGACUUAUAUUCUGUAGCAAGGUUAACCGUAUAGGGGAGCCGGAGGGAAACCGAGUCUUAACCGGGCGUUAAGUUGCAGGGUAUAGACCCGAAACCCGGUGAUCUAGCCAUGGGCAGGUUGAAGGUUGGGUAACACUAACUGGAGGACCGAACCGACUAAUGUUGAAAAAUUAGCGGAUGACCUGUGGCUGGGGGUGAAAGGCCAAUCAAACCGGGAGAUAGCUGGUUCUCCCCGAAAGCUAUUUAGGUAGCGCCUCGUGAAUUCAUCUCCGGGGGUAGAGCACUGUUUCGGCUAGGGGGCCAUCCCGGCUU
This 604-nucleotide ribosomal RNA is filed under the name Salmonella enterica subsp. enterica serovar Oranienburg. RNAcentral's name for it is "bacterial LSU rRNA". It matches the Rfam family "Bacterial large subunit ribosomal RNA", at positions 329 to 937 of the family's 2925-position model. Lineage: Bacteria; Pseudomonadati; Pseudomonadota; Gammaproteobacteria; Enterobacterales; Enterobacteriaceae. The record is from RNAcentral. RNAcentral also lists the same sequence under 1 other name.